This 253-nucleotide ribosomal RNA is filed under the name uncultured bacterium. RNAcentral describes it as "partial 16S ribosomal RNA". It matches the Rfam family "Bacterial small subunit ribosomal RNA", at positions 524 to 776 of the family's 1533-position model. The record is from RNAcentral.
GACGGAGGGUGCAAGCGUUGUUCGGAUUGACUGGGCGUAAAGGGCGUGUAGGCGGUUGGUCAAGUCCGAUGUGAAAGCCCGGGGCUCAGCUUCGGAAGUGCAUCGGAAACUAGCCAGCUUGAGCGCGAUAGAGGAGGGCGGAAUUCCUGGUGUAGCGGUGAAAUGCGUAGAUAUCAGGAGGAACACCGGCGGCGAAGGCGGCCCUCUGGAUCGUUGCUGACGCUGAGACGCGAAAGCGUGGGGAGCAAACAGG